RNAcentral lists this ribosomal RNA (1489 nucleotides) under uncultured prokaryote. RNAcentral's name for it is "partial 16S ribosomal RNA". It matches the Rfam family "Bacterial small subunit ribosomal RNA". The record is from RNAcentral.
AGAGUUUGAUCCUGGCUCAGGAUGAACGCUAGCGGCAGGCUUAACACAUGCAAGUCGAGGGGUAACAGGUUUUAGUUUACUAAGAUGCUGACGACCGGCGCACGGGUGAGUAACGCGUAUACAAUUUACCUCUUACAGGAGAAUAGCCCAGAGAAAUUUGGAUUAAUGCUCCAUGGUAUUAUAGAAUCACAUGGUUUUAUAAUUAAAGCUUCGGUGGUAAGAGAUGAGUAUGCGUCCUAUUAGCUAGAUGGUAAGGUAACGGCUUACCAUGGCGACGAUAGGUAGGGGUCCUGAGAGGGAGAUCCCCCACACUGGUACUGAGACACGGACCAGACUCCUACGGGAGGCAGCAGUGAGGAAUAUUGGGCAAUGGAGGCAACUCUGACCCAGCCAUGCCGCGUGCAGGAAGACGGCCCUAUGGGUUGUAAACUGCUUUUAUACAGGAAGAAACUUAUCCACGUGUGGAUAACUGACGGUACUGUAAGAAUAAGGACCGGCUAACUCCGUGCCAGCAGCCGCGGUAAUACGGAGGGUCCAAGCGUUAUCCGGAAUCAUUGGGUUUAAAGGGUCCGUAGGCGGGCAAUUAAGUCAGAGGUGAAAUCCCACAGCUCAACUGUGGAACUGCCUUUGAUACUGGUUCCUUUGAGUAUAGUUGAGGUAGGCGGAAUGUGUAAUGUAGCGGUGAAAUGCUUAGAUAUUACACAGAACACCGAUUGCGUAGGCAGCUUACUAAGCUAUAACUGACGCUGAUGCACGAAAGCGUGGGGAGCGAACAGGAUUAGAUACCCUGGUAGUCCACGCCGUAAACGAUGAUCACUCGUUGUUGGCGAUACACAGUCAGCGACUGAGCGAAAGCAUUAAGUGAUCCACCUGGGGAGUACGGUCGCAAGAUUGAAACUCAAAGGAAUUGACGGGGGCCCGCACAAGCGGAGGAACAUGUGGUUUAAUUCGAUAAUACGCGAGGAACCUUACCUGGGCUCAAACGUAGAGUGACCAUCUGUGAAAGCAGAUUUUCCUUCGGGACAGUCUACGAGGUGCUGCAUGGUUGUCGUCAGCUCGUGCCGUGAGGUGUCGGGUUAAGUCCCAUAACGAGCGCAACCCCUAUCUUUAGUUGCCAUCAGGUCAUGCUGGGGACUCUAAAGAAACUGCCUACGCAAGUAGUGAGGAAGGUGGGGAUGACGUCAAAUCAUCACGGCCCUUACGUCCAGGGCUACACACGUGCUACAAUGGUCGGUACAAAGGGCAGCUACCUGGUGACAGGAUGCUAAUCUCUAAAGCCGAUCUCAGUUCGGAUCGAAGUCUGCAACUCGACUUCGUGAAGUUGGAAUCGCUAGUAAUCGCGCAUCAGCCAUGGCGCGGUGAAUACGUUCCCGGGCCUUGUACACACCGCCCGUCAAGCCAUGGAAGCCGGGGGUACCUGAAGUCAGUAACCGCAAGGAGCUGCCUAGGGUAAAACUGGUAACUAGGGCUAAGUCGUAACAAGGUAACC